GACAGAGGGUGCAAACGUUGUUCGGAAUUACUGGGCGUAAAGCGCGUGUAGGCGGCCCUGCAAGUCGGAUGUGAAAUCCCACGGCUCAACCGUGGAAGUGCAUUCGAAACUGCAGGGCUAGAGUCCUGGAGAGGAAGGUGGAAUGCUUGGUGUAGGGGUGAAAUCCGUAGAUCUACGAAGGAACGCCAAAAGCGAAGGCAGCUCUCUGGGUCCCUACCGACGCUGGGGUGCGAAAGCAUGGGGAGCGAACAGG
This 253-nucleotide ribosomal RNA is filed under the name uncultured bacterium. Its description in RNAcentral is "partial 16S ribosomal RNA". It matches the Rfam family "Bacterial small subunit ribosomal RNA", at positions 524 to 776 of the family's 1533-position model. The record is from RNAcentral.